AUUGAACGCUGGCGGCAUGCCUUACACAUGCAAGUCGAACGGCAGCAUGAUCUUGCUUGCUGGAUUGAUGGCGAGUGGCGCGCGGGUGAGUCAUACAUCUGAACGUGCCCUGUAGUGGGGGACAACUAGUCGAAAGAUUUACUACUACCGCAUACCACCUGAGGGUGAAAGUGGGGGACCGCAAGGCCUCAUGCUAUAGGAGCGGCCGAUGUCUGAUUAGCUAGUUGGUGAGGUAAAGGCUUACCAAGGUGACGAUCAGUAGCUGGUCUGAGAGGACGAUCAGCCACACUGGAACUGAGACACGGCCCAGACUCCUACGGGAGGCAGCAGUGGGGAAUUUUGGACAAUGGGCGAAAGCCUGAUCCAGCAAUGCCGCGUGUGUGAAGAAGGCCUUCGGGUUGUAAAGCACUUUUGUCCGGAAAGAAAUGGCUCUGGUUAAUACCUGGGGUCGAUGACGGUACCGGAAGAAUAAGGACCGGCUAACUACGUG
Molecule: ribosomal RNA, 490 nt
Filed under: uncultured bacterium
Lineage: Bacteria
Description: partial 16S ribosomal RNA
Rfam family: Bacterial small subunit ribosomal RNA
Source: RNAcentral